UGGGGAAUCUUGGACAAUGGGGGCAACCCUGAUCCAGCGACGCCGCGUGGGUGAUGAAGGCCUUCGGGUUGUAAAGCCCUUUCACCGGGGACGAUGAUGACGGUACCCGGAGAAGAAGCACCGGCUAACUCCGUGCCAGCAGCCGCGGUAAGACGGAGGGUGCUAGCGUUGUUCGGAAUCACUGGGCGUAAAGGGCGCGUAGGCGGCGGGUCAAGUCGGCUUGUGAAAGCCCGGGGCUCAACCUCGGAGGUGCAGCCGAGACUGAUCUGCUCGAGGCCGGAAGAGGAGGGUGGAAUACCCAGUGUAGAGGUGAAAUUCGUAGAUAUUGGGUGGAACACCGGUGGCGAAAGCGGCUCUCUGGUCCGGACCUGACGCUGAGGCGCGAAAGCGUGGGGAGCAAACAGGAUUAGAUACCCCCGUAGUCC
This 425-nucleotide ribosomal RNA is filed under the name uncultured prokaryote. Its description in RNAcentral is "bacterial SSU rRNA". It matches the Rfam family "Bacterial small subunit ribosomal RNA", at positions 355 to 796 of the family's 1533-position model. The record is from RNAcentral.